Molecule: ribosomal RNA, 402 nt
Filed under: uncultured bacterium
Lineage: Bacteria
Description: bacterial SSU rRNA
Rfam family: Bacterial small subunit ribosomal RNA
Source: RNAcentral
UGGGGAAUCUUGCACAAUGGGGGCAACCCUGAUGCAGCGACGCCGCGUGAGCGAUGAAGCCCUUCGGGGCGUAAAGCUCUUUCGACCGGAACGAUAAUGACGGUACCGGGAGAAGAAGCUGCGGCUAACUACGUGCCAGCAGCCGCGGUAAUACGUAGGCAGCAAGCGUUGUUCGGAGUUACUGGGCGUAAAGAGUGCGUAGGCGGUUUUCUAAGUUCGGUGUGAAAUCUCCCGGCUUAACUGGGAGGGUGCGCCGAAGACUGGGAAGCUGGAGUGUGGGAAAGGCAGGCGGAAUUCCUGGUGUAGCGGUGAAAUGCGUAGAUAUCAGGAGGAACACCGGUGGUGUAGACGGCUCACUGGACCAUUACUGACGCUGAGGCACGAAAGCGUGGGUAGCAAACA